CUCGAGGCCAGAUCUAGAGUUUGAUCCUGGCUGAGAUUGAACGCUGGCGGCAUGCCUUACACAUGCAAGUCGAACGGCAGCAUAGGAGCUUGCUCCUGAUGGCGAGUGGCGAACGGGUGAGUAAUAUAUCGGAACGUGCCCUAGAGUGGGGGAUAACUAGUCGAAAGACUAGCUAAUACCGCAUACGAUCUACGGAUGAAAGUGGGGGAUCGCAAGACCUCAUGCUCCUGGAGCGGCCGAUAUCUGAUUAGCUAGUUGGUGGGGUAAAAGCCUACCAAGGCGACGAUCAGUAGCUGGUCUGAGAGGACGACCAGCCACACUGGGACUGAGACACGGCCCAGACUCCUACGGGAGGCAGCAGUGGGGAAUUUUGGACAAUGGGGGCAACCCUGAUCCAGCAAUGCCGCGUGAGUGAAGAAGGCCUUCGGGUUGUAAAGCUCUUUUGUCAGGGAAGAAACGGUAGUAGCUAAUAUCUAUUACUAAUGACGGUACCUGAAGAAUAAGCACCGGCUAACUACGUGCCAGCAGCCGCGGUAAUACGUAGGGUGCAAGCGUUAAUCGGAAUUACUGGGCGUAAA
RNAcentral lists this ribosomal RNA (578 nucleotides) under uncultured bacterium. Its description in RNAcentral is "bacterial SSU rRNA". It matches the Rfam family "Bacterial small subunit ribosomal RNA", at positions 1 to 564 of the family's 1533-position model. The record is from RNAcentral.